GCAGAGUCUGACAUUGCUUAGUGCAAAAAUUGUUAUUCCAAAAUUUCAUCUCACUCCAUCGGCCAUCGCCAAUCCUUGUGUCGCCGAUCUCAUUCAUUCUUUCUCCGAUUAGGUUUUCGGAAAGUCUCGCAGAAAUCACAAAUUCACAACUCGUCAGAUUUUGCUCCUACUUCAUCUAAAUCUCACAGUCUUGCUAGAAAGUAGGAAUCUUCUCCCCCUCUUUUCAAUUUCGAUUACUACGAUGAUUUUCUACAUCUGAGUGCACGUGAUGCUGGUUGGAGAGAACUGGAGUUUCUAAAUUUGAUUGCUUUUAUUCGUAUCAGGAAGUGGGUGUGAUGUUAGGAGUUUAGGAUUAGGAAGAUCGUGUCUUGAUCCGUUUUGAAGGUGAAGGGAUUUGAAUUCAUCGGAUUGGGUUUUUUAAGGUGACGGCGUCAUGUUCUAUGGUGCGGUUGUAUGGGACCCUUGGCUUAUUGUUGCUCAAAUUGUUUGCCUGCAAUGCUUAUACUACAUUACUCUUGGCUUCUUAUUGUUCAUUCUUGUUGGAACUCGCGAUUCUAGAAUGAGCCUCGUUUAUUUCUUUGAUUUUGUUACCAUCACUACUUCUACCAUCACCGGUUGGUGUGUCAUUGCAUCGUUUCUCCUCACCUCCUUUGCAGGGGCAGUGUAUAUGCUUUAUUUGAUUCAAAGAGCAAAGAAGUGCUUGGAUUUUUCAGCCACUCUCUACAUUGUUCAUCUUUUUAUAUGCAUUGUAUACGGGGGUUGGCCAUCCUCAUUAACUUGGUGGGUUGUGAAUGUCACCGGAAUCGCUGUGAUGGCUCUGCUAGGUGAAUACCUGUGCAUAAGGCGAGAACUCCGGGAGAUACCAAUAACGCGAUAUCGUUCAAGUGUUUGAUUAGCUUAGGUAACUUGAAUGUUGAAGUCAAGAAAAAGUUGAAUUGUGGGAUGGUAACGGCGGUUGUUUCUAUACAUUGGAUGAUCCCCAAGACAGAGCCCACAGAGUGCUUAACGUUGGAUGUCAUUCAAGGAACUACAUUUUCCUUUGUAGUCUUUGCUAGUUGAAGUAGACUUAAUCAUAGAUAACUUGACGGGACAUGGACAGAAAAAAGGGAUAACUCGAGUGGACUAGGUGCACCAUUUUUCUGGAAAGUCGAGUUUGCUGCAUCCGCGUACGUAUCUGGUCAUUGUAACAGAAAAUGGGGCUUGGCCAUUUUAGUAGUUUGCUCUGAAGUGUCCUACGUCCUACUAUUUUGUAUGUCGUCGGGCCUCCUCUUGUAACCUUGACUAAUUAAAUGUUACUAUAAUAUCAUUAUCCGUAUUUCAUUAUGAUAACUACUUAUCAGGUCUGAUCACUCUUAUGACAUGAUAACACAUCAUUUUAUAUAAUGGGUAGCUUUAAGAUGAAUAUA
This is an RNA transcript of Abrus precatorius (Indian licorice), 1406 nucleotides long. It is a transcript of the gene named protein SYS1 homolog, with no coding region annotated. The record is from RefSeq and is a predicted model, not a curated record. The transcript is spliced from 4 exons. Lineage: Eukaryota; Viridiplantae; Streptophyta; Magnoliopsida; Fabales; Fabaceae.